AGUCAGCGGCGGACGGGUGAGUAACACGUGGGUAACCUGCCUAUAAGACUGGGAUAACUCCGGGAAACCGGGGCUAAUACCGGAUAACAUCAAAAGCUGCAUGGCUUUUGGUUGAAAGGCGGCUUCGGCUGUCACUUAUAGAUGGACCCGCGGCGCAUUAGCUAGUUGGUGGGGUAACGGCUCACCAAGGCCACGAUGCGUAGCCGACCUGAGAGGGUGAUCGGCCACACUGGGACUGAGACACGGCCCAGACUCCUACGGGAGGCAGCAGUAGGGAAUCUUCCGCAAUGGACGAAAGUCUGACGGAGCAACGCCGCGUGAGUGAAGAAGGUUUUCGGAUCGUAAAACUCUGUUGUCAGGGAAGAACAAGUAUCGGAGUAACUGCCGGUACCUUGACGGUACCUGACCAGAAAGCCACGGCUAACUACGUGCCAGCAGCCGCGGUAAUACGUAGGUGGCAAGCGUUGUCCGGAAUUAUUGGGCGUAAAGCGCGCGCAGGCGGCCUUUUAAGUCUGAUGUGAAAGCCCCCGGCUCAACCGGGGAGGGUCAUUGGAAACUGGAAGGCUUGAGUGCAGAAGAGAAGAGCGGAAUUCCACGUGUAGCGGUGAAAUGCGUAGAGAUGUGGAGGAACACCAGUGGCGAAGGCGGCUCUUUGGUCUGUAACUGACGCUGAGGCGCGAAAGCGUGGGGAGCGAACAGGAUUAGAUACCCUGGUAGUCCACGCCGUAAACGAUGAGUGCUAAGUGUUGGGGGGUUUCCGCCCCUCAGUGCUGCAGCUAACGCAUAAGCAC
This 791-nucleotide ribosomal RNA is filed under the name Domibacillus indicus. RNAcentral's name for it is "bacterial SSU rRNA". It matches the Rfam family "Bacterial small subunit ribosomal RNA", at positions 90 to 867 of the family's 1533-position model. Lineage: Bacteria; Bacillati; Bacillota; Bacilli; Caryophanales; Bacillaceae. The record is from RNAcentral.